GGUUGGAACUGGAUGAGCGCUGUGGUCCUUUUCAACCCAGGCCAUUCUGUGAUUCUAUGAUUUCUAUUGGGAUUGCAUUUGGUGUUUGGGCAGCAGCAACAGCUGGACACUUUCUACUGCUAAAAAUACCAAUUCCAGAUGCCAGGGAUUUCAAGUACACUUUUAACUAUGCAUCUUUAUGGAUGUGUGUGUUUGUGUUCUUGAUGCUCUUCCUUUGGCUGCAUGUGUCAGGGAUUAUGUCUGGCCUCAGCUCUGCUUAUCCAUCCCUCAGUGUGGUGGGGAAGCAUUUAUUCCUUGCCGUAUUUUGAGGGGUGUUGGGGAAGACAGUAGGGACGAGGAGGGAGAGGAGACCCUCAUGCCCAUCUAAAUUAAAUUAGCCCCCUGGAUGUAUAUUAAAAUGUUAAGUAGCACUAAGCUCUGUAUCCCAGCUCAGCAAUAUUUCAAGGCACUUUAUUGCAUUAAUGGAGUGAUAAAAUAGAACCUGCAAUUACAGUAAUUUUUUCUAAUUGAAUAUUUUGCUUUAUUCUUUCCCUUUCAAAGCAUGACUGUAAGUACUAGCCUUCAGGAAGCUUUGGCAAUAUUUAUACCUUCCCUUUCUGGUGAGGGGUGUAAAUACACCUCUUGGGCCUCCCAUUUCUGUCCCUCAUGGCUAGAGAGCUGAAUGCCUUAGAGAGAGGUGGGCUGAAGACAUCAACCUUGUACCAUCUUGCUGUUACUUCUAGGAAGCGCUGGUUUGCUGGUUGGUGGAGAGAGCAGUGUGAUGUUAUGGCUUACAUGCUUUCAAUCACUGUCCUGGACUCGAGCUUAAGCAGCAGUAAGGCUGAGUUGGGCUUUAUUUGACAUCAGCUGAUUUCAUCACAGAACGUGCUGUAGAUCAUCGCCCUGAAAGACUUCAACAAAAUGGUCUGAAAGGUUUUUAUGGGUUGUGAGAUGUUCCAGUGCUUGGAUCAAUGCUUUUUCUUUCCUGUCGGGAAGGAGCGUGUUGGGUUUUUUGUUUCUUUGCUUGUGUUAUGUCAAUUUAAUUGUAAGCCAACGUGGCAGCCCCAGGGGAAGUGGACUUAUAUACACAAACAGGUACAACUCUGCGUGUGCACGGAGCAAAUGGAACCAUCCCAGGGCAGAGGAGGUCCCCAAGGAGCUGCCAAGCUGUUCAGCCAUCACUGAUAUCAGAACGGUGAUACCCACGUGGUCCAAAUGCCUCUUCUUUCUGCACAGGCAAAAAAAGGAAUGCAGGAGAUAGGCUUCAUGUGCAGAGCUGCGUCAGCUUAAGCUCACACUAGCAUGAGGCUUAGCAAGGUUUGUGCUCUGGUGUGAGUGAAACAGAGGGAAAUCUGUCUCCUGUUAUCAGAGGGCAGCCUGAGCUGGGGAAGGUCAGCCAGCCCACAGCAGGGGUUGGGACCGGAUGAUCUUUGAGAUCCCUUCCAACCCAAACCGUUCUGUUAUUGGAUGGUUUUAAAUUAUACAUGUGCACUUCAUGUCUGUAUAAAACCAUCCUGGGACUUGUGGAUUGAGAUGUGAUGUGAUUUGGAUGAUGACAUCCUGACAGUGACCAAGUGGGCGUACCUGCAUCAUGAUGUUUUUGCUUUGACCUGCUGUCCCCAGCCACAGAUUGCUGUCAUAAAGGCCCAUUAAAAAUCACUUUGCUCUCUGGGAUGCUUAACUUGCUGUGUUUUCAGUUAGCCAUGCUGAACCUUGAAAAAGAGAGCAUUUUAGCUUCCAGCAGGAUACCUGGAGUUCAGAAAUCUCCGCAGAAGAUUAAGCAAGUUAGAGAGAGAAAUUAGCCCUGAUCCCUUUCUGCCAGCAUAGGAUUAUCCUGCAGCACACCGGUUUUGAAGUUUAUGUCUAAUCCAGUUUUACACGUCCCAGGGGACUGUGCUCCUUAUGGCUUCUGCAGAGCAGUUGUGUGGUGGAGCCUCUGCUAUAGAGGUACUUACUUGGUGCCGAGAUUCAAUUUGCAUUCCCAUUACUGCAUCCCAUUUCAUCCUGUGCCAUAUACUUAAUGUCUCUGCUUUGUAGGGUAUGGCUUUUGAAGACAUAUGGAUCGUUAUUGUGCUUGUGCUGCUUUAUAUGCUUACUGCACACAUAGCUGGGCUAUCUGAACCCCAUUCUUUCACAUACCUUGUGCUUAGGGCUGUUGAACAUAUUUGUGUAUGAAAGGGCUCGUGGCAGUCAGUGUGGAUCGUAGUGCAUCGACACAAGUGGUGUGAAACAAGGUGAGACGAGCCAAGUGUGCUGCAGUAUUGCUAGUCAAGGCAAAAAGGAGCAAAUGCUGCUGCUUUCCAGCAUGAUGCAAGGCUUAAAUGGUCAGUUUGGGAGUUUUUCAUGCAGUGUGGUGUGAGUUUGUAAAACCAUUAUUGUUCUUUUCUAAUAAAUGUGUAUUUCCAGGCUGAAAAACAACUUGUCUGUGAUCUUUGAAGUGCCUUCCUGCAAGCACUGUUCCUUGCACACACGGGGCAGUAGCAG
Molecule: non-coding RNA, 2463 nt
Organism: Meleagris gallopavo (turkey)
Lineage: Eukaryota; Metazoa; Chordata; Aves; Galliformes; Phasianidae
Source: RefSeq, a predicted model, not a curated record